This 441-nucleotide ribosomal RNA is filed under the name uncultured bacterium. Its description in RNAcentral is "partial 16S ribosomal RNA". It matches the Rfam family "Bacterial small subunit ribosomal RNA", at positions 338 to 795 of the family's 1533-position model. The record is from RNAcentral.
CCUACGGGAGGCAGCAGUGGGGAAUAUUGCACAAUGGGGGAAACCCUGAUGCAGCAACGCCGCGUGAAGGAAGACGGUUUUCUGAUUGUAAACUUCUGUUCUUAGUGAAGAAUAAUUACGGUAGCUAAGGUGCAAGCCACUGCUAACUACGUGCCAGCCGCCGCGGUAAUACGUAGGUGGCAAGCGUUGUCCGGAUUUACUGGGUGUAAAGGGAGCGCAGGCGGGAAGCUAAGUCAGCUGUGAAAACUACGGGCUUAACUUGUAGACUGCAGUUGAAACUGGUUUUCUUGAGUGAAGUAGAGGUUGGCGGAAUUCCGGGUGUAGCGGUGAAAUGCGUAGAGAUUCGGAGGAACACCGGUGGCGAAGGCGAGCAACUGGGGUUUAACUGACGCUGAGGCUCGAAAGUGUGGGGAGCAAACAGGAUUAGAUACCCCUGUAGUC